CAGCGCCACGAGUGGCAACCAUGAUUAUUGGGCCUAAAGCAUCCGUAGCCGGCGCUGUAAGUUUUCGGUUAAAUCUGUACGCUCAACGUACAGGCUGCCGGGAAUACUGCAGCGCUAGGGAGUGGGAGAGGUAGACGGUACUCGGUAGGAAGGGGUAAAAUCCUUUGAUCUAUUGAUGACCACCUGUGGCGAAGGCGGUCUACCAGAACACGUCCGACGGUGAGGGAUGAAAGCUGGGGGAGCAAACCGGAUUAGAUACCCGAGUAGUCC
Molecule: ribosomal RNA, 270 nt
Filed under: uncultured archaeon
Lineage: Archaea
Description: partial 16S ribosomal RNA
Rfam family: Archaeal small subunit ribosomal RNA
Source: RNAcentral